AUUGAACGCUGGCGGCAGGCCUAACACAUGCAAGUCGAGCGGAUGAAGGGAGCUUGCUCCUGGAUUCAGCGGCGGACGGGUGAGUAAUGCCUAGGAAUCUGCCUGGUAGUGGGGGAUAACGUCCGGAAACGGGCGCUAAUACCGCAUACGUCCUGAGGGAGAAAGUGGGGGAUCUUCGGACCUCACGCUAUCAGAUGAGCCUAGGUCGGAUUAGCUAGUUGGUGGGGUAAAGGCCUACCGAGGCGACGAUCCGUAACUGGUCUGAGAGGAUGAUCAGUCACACUGGAACUGAGACACGGUCCAGACACCUACGGGAGGCAGCAGUGGGGAAUAUUGGACAAUGGGCGAAAGCCUGAUCCAGCCAUGCCGCGUGUGUGAAGAAGGUCUUCGGAUUGUAAAGCACUUUAAGUUGGGAGGAAGGGCAGUAAGUUAAUACCUUGCUGUUUUGACGUUACCAACAGAAUAAGCACCGGCUAACUUCGUG
RNAcentral lists this ribosomal RNA (484 nucleotides) under uncultured bacterium. Its description in RNAcentral is "partial 16S ribosomal RNA". It matches the Rfam family "Bacterial small subunit ribosomal RNA", at positions 30 to 507 of the family's 1533-position model. The record is from RNAcentral.